UACGUAGGGGGCGAGCGUUGUCCGGAUUUAUUGGGCGUAAAACGCUUGUAGGUGGCCACGUCAAGUUGGAUGUGAAAGCCCCGGGCUCAACCUGGGAACUGCAUCCAAAACUGGCAAGCUAGAGUACGGUAGAGGGUGGUGGAAUUUCCUGUGUAGCGGUGAAAUGCGUAGAUAUAGGAAGGAACACCAGUGGCGAAGGCGACCACCUGGACUGAUACUGACACUGAGGUGCGAAAGCGUGGGGAGCAAACAGG
Molecule: ribosomal RNA, 254 nt
Filed under: uncultured bacterium
Lineage: Bacteria
Description: partial 16S ribosomal RNA
Rfam family: Bacterial small subunit ribosomal RNA
Source: RNAcentral